GAUGAACGCUGGCGGCGUGCCUAACACAUGCAAGUCGAACGGUAACAGGUUCUCACUAUGCUUUUGAAGUUUUCGAAGGUUUAGUGAGAAUGCUGACGAGUGGCGGACGGCUGAGUAACGCGUGGGAACGUGCCCCAAAGUGAGGGAUAAGCACCGGAAACGGUGUCUAAUACCGCAUAUGAUCUUCGGAUUAAAGCAGCAAUGCGCUUUGGGAGCGGCCUGCGUCGGAUUAGGUUGUUGGUGAGGUAAUGGCUCACCAAGCCGACGAUCCGUAGCUGGUCUGAGAGGAUGACCAGCCAGACUGGAACUGAGACACGGUCCAGACUCCUACGGGAGGCAGCAGUGAGGAAUCUUCCACAAUGGGGCAACCCUGAUGGAGCAACGCCGCGUGCAGGAUGAAGGCCUUCGGUCGUAAACUGCUUUUAUAAGUGAGGAAUAGUAGACGGUAACGUUAUAGAAUAAGGAUCGGCUAACUACGUGCCAGCAGCCGUAC
This 493-nucleotide ribosomal RNA is filed under the name uncultured bacterium. RNAcentral describes it as "bacterial SSU rRNA". It matches the Rfam family "Bacterial small subunit ribosomal RNA", at positions 28 to 520 of the family's 1533-position model. The record is from RNAcentral.